AUGGGAACCCCCCGCCUCGCGCUCCACCUCCUGCUCCUCUCCAGCGUGCUCCUCUUCGAUGCCCUCCUCGCCACGCCUGCGGAGGGCCUUGUCCGCGUCGCGCUGAAGAAGCGUCCGGUUGACGACGCCCAGCUACUCGUCGCUCUCGGCGGCAACGCCGAGGCAAAGGGCCACGUCGUGGCACUGAAGAACUACCACAACGCUCAGUACCACGGCGAGAUCGGCAUCGGAACGCCGCCGCAGAACUUCACCGUCAUCUUCGACACAGGCAGCUCCAACCUCUGGGUGCCCUCCUCCAAGUGCUUCCUCUCGAUUGCUUGCUACUUCCACGCGAGCUACAAGGCCAAGCGGUCGAGCACGUACAAGAAGAAUGGAAAAAUGGUUGCAAUUCAAUAUGGAACUGGUGCAAUUUCUAGAUAUGUUAGCCAGGACAAUGUGCAAGUUGGUGGUGUAGUUGUGAAAAAUCAGGAUUUUAUUGAAGCUACCAGGGAACCAAGUAUUACUUUUAUGGUUGCAAAAUUUGAUGGCAUUCUUGGUCUUGGGUUUAAAGAAAUCUCAAAAGGUGAUGUUGUACCUGUCUGGUAUAACAUGGUUAGCCAAGGUCUAGUUGGUAGCCCUAUUUUCACAUUCUGGUUGAACAGACAUGCCGGUGAAGGGCAAGGGGGAGAAAUUGUGUUUGGAGGAAUUGAUCCUAAUCAUCAUAAUGGAGAUCAUACAUACGUCCCUGUUACUAGGAAGGGAUACUGGCAGUUUGAUAUGGGUGAUGUCUUGAUUGGAGGAAAUUCCACAGGAUUAUGUGCGUCUCGCUGUGCAGCUAUAGCAGAUUCGGGAACUUCAUUGCUUUCUGGUCCCACAGCCAUAAUUACUCAAAUAAAUGAAAAGAUCGGUGCACCUGGGGUAGUCAGCCAAGAGUGCAAGGCUGUUGUUUCUCAGUAUGGGCAGCGGAUCCUAGAUCUGCUGUUAAAGGAGAUCGAGCCAUCAAAAAUAUGCUCUUUAGUCGGUCUAUGUACUCCCAAUGGAACACAAGGUGUAAGGGCUGGUAUUCGAAGUGUGCUAGAUCAUGAAGUUGGGAGAUCAAAUGAUGUCAUGUGCCAUGCUUGUGAGAUGGCUGUUGUAUGGAUGACGAACCAACUUGCAAAGAAUCAAACUCAGGAUCUUAUAUUCAAGUACAUUAAUCAGCUAUGUGACCGUAUUCCUAGCCCUAUGGGAGAAUCAUCUGUGGACUGCAGCAGACUUGCGUCCAUGCCUGACGUCGCCUUCUCCAUCGGGGGCAAACAGUUUGUGCUGACACCAGAACAAUAUAUCCUGAAGAUCGGUGAGGGAGAUGCUACCCAGUGCAUCAGCGGAUUCACGGCCAUGGACAUUCCUCGUCCCCGUGGCCCUCUCUGGAUCCUAUAUUCAUGGGAGCCUACCAUACCGUCUUCGACUAUGGCAACAUGA
RNAcentral lists this ribosomal RNA (1440 nucleotides) under Triticum aestivum (bread wheat). Its description in RNAcentral is "partial small subunit ribosomal RNA". The record is from RNAcentral. Lineage: Eukaryota; Viridiplantae; Streptophyta; Magnoliopsida; Poales; Poaceae.